This 247-nucleotide unclassified non-coding RNA is filed under the name uncultured fungus. RNAcentral describes it as "partial contains 5.8S ribosomal RNA, internal transcribed spacer 2, and large subunit ribosomal RNA". Lineage: Eukaryota; Fungi. The record is from RNAcentral.
AACGCACAUUGCGCCUCUUGGUAUUCCAGGAGGCACGCCUGUUCGAGCGCCAUUACACCCCCCAAGCACGGCUUGAUGUUGGGCGACGUCUGUAACAAGACGCGCCUGGAACGUGUUGGCGCCGCCGCCGAACCACGAGCGUAGCAAGACGCAAGUCAUUUCGCUUUGUUGGUUUCGACGGACGGUCUGUCACUCUUUUAUUCUAAAGUUUGGCCUCGGAUCAGGCGGGGAUACCCGCUGAACUUAA